This is a long non-coding RNA of Formica exsecta, 424 nucleotides long. RefSeq lists it as uncharacterized. The record is from RefSeq and is a predicted model, not a curated record. The transcript is spliced from 3 exons. Lineage: Eukaryota; Metazoa; Arthropoda; Insecta; Hymenoptera; Formicidae.
UCGAAGAAAAUUCUCACGACAACAACUUUGAUCGUGAUACGGUACCUGGAUCUCUCGUACACGCGCUUCCGUUGUGAUGAUCUCCCGAAUCGAUGCCAACGAAGAUGACCAAAACGACGCUAUGGGGCUCGGUCGAUCUCCUUCGAGUAAUACACACGCGGACGAGACUGCUGGAAAUGUGCUCGCGACGGCCGAGCGAUGACUACUGGUCGUGCCUCCCGACGAGCUCCCCCCGCGUACCACGCGAUCAACCAACCGGCCGGCCCGCCACUGUCCACCACUACUAACUGAAGCACGUCACUGAUAUCCCGAUAUCGCGUAAAUCGUGAGCAUGCGAGAGCGAGAGGUCGUGGUGCGGGAUGCGGGGCCCGUGACGUCUACGUAAACAGAAAGGCUCGCGUGCGAGUCGAUCAUCUCCGAGUUC